GCGGGUAAUAUUGGACAAUGGGCGAAAGCCUGAUCCAGCCAUGCCGCGUGUGUGAAGAAGGUCUUCGGAUUGUAAAGCACUUUAAGUUGGGAGGAAGGGUAGUAACCUAAUACGUUGCUACUUUGACGUUACCGACAGAAUAAGCACCGGCUAACUUCGUGCCAGCAGCCGCGGUAAUACGAAGGGUGCAAGCGUUAAUCGGAAUUACUGGGCGUAAAGCGCGCGUAGGUGGUUUUGUAAGUUGGAGGUGAAAUCCCCGGGCUCAACCUGGGAACUGACUCCAAAACUGAAUGACUAGAGUACGGUAGAGGGUAGUGGAAUUUCCUGUGUAGCGGUGAAAUGCGUAGAUAUAGGAAGGAACACCAGUGGCGAAGGCGACUACCUGGACUGAUACUGACACUGAGGUGCGAAAGCGUGGGGAGCAAACAGGAUUAGAAACCCGUGUAGUCC
Molecule: ribosomal RNA, 450 nt
Filed under: uncultured bacterium
Lineage: Bacteria
Description: partial 16S ribosomal RNA
Rfam family: Bacterial small subunit ribosomal RNA
Source: RNAcentral